GGAUGCGGAGGGGACCUGGCUGGGACAUCUGUCACCCCACUGGUCACCAGGGUUGAUUCGGCUGAUCUUGCUGUAGGCGGGUGUCCCCUACCUCCCUCAGUGAUCCAUGUGCAUCCCUCCCAAGCUGCGCGCUCGGUCUAAGAAGAUGACCACUCCGGUAGAGGAGGACCGGCCCUCAGUCAGGGGUAUACAGCAGCUGGGCUCUCCUGCUAGAACCCCCACACAAGCUCCCGGGUCUGGGUGCAACAAUAUCCAUGAAGCUGUGUAAAUAAAAACUCUACAUAUAAAUCUAGCAGAUUCAAUUGUAAGA
Cavia aperea (Brazilian guinea pig) is the source of this 310-nucleotide unclassified non-coding RNA. Its record names the gene 7SK. It matches the Rfam family "7SK RNA". Rfam says of the family: 7SK was discovered as an abundant small nuclear RNA in the mid-70s but a possible function has only recently been suggested. Two independent studies have found that 7SK RNA binds the CDK9/cyclin T complex (known as elongation factor P-TEFb). P-TEFb activates transcription by phosphorylating the C-terminal domain of RNA polymerase II. The record is from Ensembl. Lineage: Eukaryota; Metazoa; Chordata; Mammalia; Rodentia; Caviidae.